RNAcentral lists this ribosomal RNA (499 nucleotides) under uncultured bacterium. RNAcentral describes it as "partial 16S ribosomal RNA". It matches the Rfam family "Bacterial small subunit ribosomal RNA", at positions 28 to 507 of the family's 1533-position model. The record is from RNAcentral.
GACGAACGCUGGCGGCGUGCUUAGCACAUGCAAGUCGAACGGGCCUGUCUUCUUUUUUGGGGGUGGGUUGAGUGGCGAACGGGUGAGUAUCACGUGAGUAACCUGCCCUUCGGUCCUGGAUAACCGCUUGAAAGGGCGGCUAAUACGGGGUGGUCCGGUUGGUCCGCAUGGGCUGGUCGGGAUAGAUUCACUGUUUUUGGUGUUUCGGCGGGGGAUGGGCUCGCGGCCUAUCAGCUGGUUGGUGGGGUGAUGGCCUACCAAGGCGGUGACGGGGAGCCGGGCUGAGGGGGUGGGCGGCCACACUGGGACUGGGAUACGGCCCAGACUCCUGCGGGAGGCAGCAGUGGGGGGUAUUGCACAAUGGGCGGAAGCCUGAUGCAGCGACGUCGCGUGAGGGAUGGAGGCCUUCGGGUUGUGAACCUCUGUUUCCGGUGGUGAAGGCCCUGUCCGUGUGGUGGGGUUGACGGUAGCCGGGGAUGAAGCGCCGGCUAACUACGUG